RNAcentral lists this ribosomal RNA (516 nucleotides) under Triticum aestivum (bread wheat). RNAcentral describes it as "partial small subunit ribosomal RNA". The record is from RNAcentral. Lineage: Eukaryota; Viridiplantae; Streptophyta; Magnoliopsida; Poales; Poaceae.
AUGGACGCCGACAAGGUGGCGGCCGUCGCAGCCUGGCCGACGCCGCACUCGCUGCGGGCUCUUCGCGGUUUUCUUGGCCUUGCCGGAUACUACCGGAAGUUCAUCCGGGAGUUCGGCCUCAUUGCGUCGCCCCUCACGCGGUUGCUGCACCGCGACGCCUUCUCCUGGGACGAGGAGGCGACAUCGGCAUUCGAGGCCCUCAAGGGGGCCCUCACGACGGGGCCCGUUCUUCAGAUGCCGGAUUUUGACCGCCCCUUCAUGGUGGACUAUGACGCCUCGGGUGCGGGGUUCGGCGCCGUGCUUCAUCAGGGUGAUGGUCCUCUCGCCUUCUUCAGCCGGUCCUUCGCUCCGCGCCAUCUUAAGCUCGUAGCGUACGAGCGGGAGCUCAUUGGCUUGGUGCAGGCCGUGCGCCAUUGGCGGCCCUAUCUGUGGGGCCAGUCUUUCCAGAUUCGCAUGGACCACUACAGUCUCAAGUUCUUGCUGGACCAGAUGCUCUCGACCGUGCCGCAGCACUAG